Molecule: long non-coding RNA, 907 nt
Filed under: Physcomitrium patens
Lineage: Eukaryota; Viridiplantae; Streptophyta; Bryopsida; Funariales; Funariaceae
Description: long non-coding RNA (PPAT_LNC003321)
Source: RNAcentral
GAAGGCAACUAAUUGUGGAAGGUAGAAUAGAAAUUAUAAUAACAAAAUCUUAAUUUUAAUAGAAUAUUAAAUAAACUCUAAUUAAAUCUUAAUAAUAUUAAAUAAGUUUUAAUCAAAUUCAAAAGAAAUCUUAAAGAAAUUACAAAAGAAACAAUAAUAAAUCUUAAAGGAGUUGAAAGAUAAUCUACAAUAAACUUUAAAAGAAUCCUUAAGAAGUCCUAAAAAAUAUUAAAAUAAUCACAAUAUAUCUUAAAUAAAUCUCAAUCAAAUUUUAAUUUAAUCCUAAUUUAAAUUAUAAUGAACUUCAAUCAAAUCCUAAAAAAACUCUAAAUUUUAAAUCAAAUCUUAGAUAAACUCUAAAUCCUAAAUCCAAUCAUAAUCAAAUCUUAGUCAAAUUCUAAAUCUUAAAUAAAUCCUGAAUAAAUCCUAAAAUCUAAACCAAAUACUAAACAAAUCUUAAAUCCUAAAUCAAAUCUUAACCAAAUCCUAAAUCCUAAAUCAAAUCUUAAAUCAAAUCCUAAAUCAAAUCCUAUUCAAAUUCUAAAUCUUAAAUCAAACCUUGAUCAAAUCCUAAAAUCUAAAUCAAAUCUUAACCAAAUCCUAACCAAACCCUAAAUUCUAAAUCAAAUCUUAACCAAAUCCUAACCAAGUCCUAAAUCCUAAAUUAAAUCUUGACCAAAUUCUAAAAUCUUAUCCAAAUCUUAAUAAAAUCUUAACCAAAUUCUAACCAAAUCUUAAAUUUUUAAUCAAAUCUUAACCAAAUCCUAAUCAAAUUCUAAGAUAGUUUAGAAUCUUAAUAUUUUUUGAUUAAUCUAUUCAUCUUAUUUAAAAUUUUAUACACCUCUCAAUCUCUUAAUUACAAACAAGUACAAUAAAUUUGAAGACAAUUGCAUUUACCAAAUGGAAG